RNAcentral lists this ribosomal RNA (492 nucleotides) under uncultured Oscillospiraceae bacterium. RNAcentral describes it as "partial 16S ribosomal RNA". Lineage: Bacteria; Bacillati; Bacillota; Clostridia; Eubacteriales; Oscillospiraceae. The record is from RNAcentral.
CACGGUAGUUAGCCGUGGCUUCUUCUGCAGGUACCGUCCUUUUGUCUUCCCUGCUGAAAGAGGUUUACAAUCCGAAGACCGUCUUCCCUCACGCGGCGUCGCUGGGUCAGGCUUGCGCCCAUUGCCCAAUAUUCCCCACUGCUGCCUCCCGUAGGAGUCUGGACCGUUUCUCAGUUCCAAUGUGGCCGUUCAACCUCUCAGUCCGGCUACCGAUCGUCGGCUUGGUGAGCCGUUACCCCACCAACUACCUAAUCGGACGCGAGCCCAUCUGUUAGCGAUAAAUCUUUGGCAUUAACACCAUGCGAUAUCAAUGCGUUAUGCGGUAUUAGCGUCCGUUUCCAGACCGUUAUUCCCCUCUAACAGGCAGGUUGCUCACGCGUUACUCACCCGUCCGCCACUAAGUUAACCUGAAGCAAGCUUCUGGUCAACUCCGUUCGACUUGAAUGUGUUAUGCACGCCGCCAGCGUUCAUCCUGAGCCAGGAUCAAAACUC